This 463-nucleotide ribosomal RNA is filed under the name uncultured bacterium. RNAcentral's name for it is "partial 16S ribosomal RNA". It matches the Rfam family "Bacterial small subunit ribosomal RNA", at positions 28 to 507 of the family's 1533-position model. The record is from RNAcentral.
GAUCAACGCUGACAGAAUGCUUAACACAUGCAAGUCGAUGGGGAAGUGGUGCUUGCACCAUGGUAACCAUGGCGGACGGGUGAGUAACACGUAAGGAACUUACCUGCGGGACCGGGAUAACAGCAGGAAACUGCUGACAAGACCGGAUAAGGUCAUUAAGCUGCAUAGCUUAGUGAUGAAAGGAGACGCCUGCGGAGAGCCUUGCGUCCUAUUAGCUAGUUGGAGGGGUAACGGCCCACCAAGGCGAAGAUAGGUAGCCGGCCUGAGAGGGUGGACGGCCACAAGGGGACUGAGAUACGGCCCUUACUCCUACGGGAGGCAGCAGUGGGGAAUAUUGGACAAUGGGGGCAACCCUGAUCCAGCAAUUCUGUGUGCACGAAGACGGUUUUCGGAUUGUAAAGUGCUUUCAGCAGGGAAGAAGGAAGUGACGGUACCUGCAGAAGAAGCGACGGCUAAAUACGUG